GUUAUGACAAGGGAAAAGAGAGUGGAGCCAUUCACUUGUGGCACUACUAAUGACCCAAGCAUUGUUGUUUGCAUAAAUACAAUCUUUGUGUGCUAACUAAACCUGAGCAAUACAGCUGUGAAUGCUGCUUUCUUUCAGUUUUCCCUAAAUCUCCACAUGACUUGUGCACGAUAAUAAAUAAACCUCUCCUGUUAACAUAUUGUUUGUUUCAUAGGUACACCUUUCUUUCAAGCUACAUCAUGCUCAGCCAUGAAACGUGAAUCAUGUAGUGAGCCAUUGUCUUAAAUACUUCCUUUCUUGAUGGAUUAUCUUUUCUCCCUUCAGGAAACUGGACUUCUGCAAAUUACAUUGUGGAAUAGCACAAAAUGCACUGACGUCAGGCCUUUGGAUGCCGCUACAGACUGGCCUUAGCUGGAAUGAGUUUGGCUGUCUCAGCUCAUUUCAUAGGGACACAGAGGUGCACACCACAGAGUGUGCACUUUGGGGUUACUGCCAGUCUCUUCCAGAAGAUGCCCAAAAAUGAAUCAGUGAAGGGACUGUGUUACUUCUCAUGGCAUCUGCAGGUACAGGGUGUACCCAAGAUCUUCCCAAGAUCUCUUCUUUCUUUCAGGCUUUCUGACUUUUAUGGGCCUUAAAAAUUGAAUGAUAUUUAACUGGAUGUGUGGGAGAUGAAACCACUGCAAGCGAGUUAUCUGUGCAGCCCUGCUAGCAGCAGCACGCCCGGUCCGUUCCAUGAGCUCAGCCCUGCAGCCACACUGCUCACCCGCUGCUCCCGGCUUGGAGCUGGGCUUCUCCAUCCGACCUGGGGGCUGCCCACCUUUCUGUCUUCAAAAUAGAAAAAUAGUAUGAUAGCAAACAAUAUCUUUCUGCACCCUUUUUUUUCCCUUUUCAUCUUCUCUACCUCUCAUUUACUGUAAAUCCUGCAGAAGGUGCAAACUGUUGGCACUCACAUCCAUGACAAAAGGAAGAAUGGUGAUAUCUGGCAUCAGGCAGAAGACUUUUCCAUUUGCUAUUUUCCUAUGGCUGGUCUAAUUUUGCUUAUUUAACCAGAAAAUGACCUCCAAAUGGAGACAUAUAGAACCUUCUUAUCAUAAAUAUCCUUUUCAGGAGGUCUCUAAUCACGUUUCUCUGUACUCUGCAGACAGGAAAAUGUGGUCAAAUGCUCAUUUAUUGCUCCAGUUUUUAUAAUGUGAAAAUAGGGAAAUAUUUUUAUACCUUAGUAACAUACUGUAAUGGCUUCCAAACAUGAGCAUAAAAUUGGGGUAAAAUUAAUCUCAGUCUAUAAAACUAACUGAUCUGUAUUUGUGUGUAUACUUAUGUACAGAACAUAAGACAUAUGUAAACACAAGCUCACUAUUCAGAGCAGAUUAUAUACAUACUGAACAUGAUUACAUAGACUUGAAUACUGAUACAUAUGGGAAAUGCAUAUUUAAAAGAAUUUCAGUGCAUUUAGGUAUUAUUUCUUGUACAAAAUCAAGAUUUCCUUCAUUCUUAUAUCAGUGUUUUGCAUGUGAGAUACUGUUUUCUAAAUCUGUUUUUAUAGUUAGCCAAAUUCAAAGCUGAUUCUGAGGGUUUUGAAGCAAAU
Molecule: long non-coding RNA, 1585 nt
Organism: Numida meleagris (helmeted guineafowl)
Lineage: Eukaryota; Metazoa; Chordata; Aves; Galliformes; Numididae
Source: Ensembl